AUGAACGCUGGCGGCAUGUCUAAGGCAUGCAAGUCGAACGAAUUGCUUUUCUUCGGAAGAUCAGUUAGUGGCAAACGGGAGAGGAACACAUUGAUAACUUACCUCGAAGUCGUGAACAACCAUUAGAAAUGAUGGCUAAUACACGAUAUUGAUGAAGAGUCCACGGACUCAUCAUUGAAAGGUCCGCCGCUUCGAGAAAGGUCUAUGUCCUAUCAGCUAGUUGGCGAGGUAAAAGCUCACCAAGGCGACGACGGGUACCGGGCGUGAGAGCGUGGCCCGGCUCACUGGGACUGAGAUACUGCCCAGACACCUACGGGUGGCUGCAGUCAAGAAUCUUCCACAAUGGACGAAAGUCUGAUGGAGCAAUGCCGCGUGGUGGAUGAAGGCCUUCGGGUCGUAAACACCUUUUAUAAGGGGCGAACAAAUGACGGUACCUUAUGAAUAAGGGGCUGCUAAUCACGU
This 462-nucleotide ribosomal RNA is filed under the name uncultured bacterium. RNAcentral's name for it is "bacterial SSU rRNA". It matches the Rfam family "Bacterial small subunit ribosomal RNA", at positions 29 to 506 of the family's 1533-position model. The record is from RNAcentral.